CCAAUGUAUCUUAGUGGCAGACGGGUGAGUAUGCAUAGGAAUCUACCUAGUAGUAUAGGAUAGCCACUAGAAGUGGUGGGUAAUACUGUAUAAUCCCUGCGGGGGAAAGAUUUAUCGCUACAUGAUGAGCCUAUGUUAGAUUAGCUAGUUGGUGGGGUAAUGGCCUACCAAGGCUGUGAUCUAUAGCUGGUCUGAGAGGAUGAUCAGCCACACUGGAACUGAGACACGGUCCAGACUCCUACGGGAGGCAGCAGUGGGGAAUAUUGGACAAUGGGCGCAAGCCUGAUCCAGCUAUGCCGCGUGAGUGAGGAAGGCCUUAGGGUUGUAAAACUCUUUCAGUAGGGAAGAUAAUGACGGUACCUAUAA
This 366-nucleotide ribosomal RNA is filed under the name Anaplasma phagocytophilum. RNAcentral's name for it is "bacterial SSU rRNA". It matches the Rfam family "Bacterial small subunit ribosomal RNA", at positions 82 to 484 of the family's 1533-position model. Lineage: Bacteria; Pseudomonadati; Pseudomonadota; Alphaproteobacteria; Rickettsiales; Anaplasmataceae. The record is from RNAcentral.